Molecule: small nucleolar RNA, 128 nt
Filed under: Castor canadensis (American beaver)
Lineage: Eukaryota; Metazoa; Chordata; Mammalia; Rodentia; Castoridae
Description: Small nucleolar RNA SNORA51 (ENSCCNG00000015068.1)
Rfam family: Small nucleolar RNA SNORA51
About the family: ACA51 is a member of the H/ACA class of snoRNA that guide the sites of modification of uridines to pseudouridines.
Source: Rfam by way of RNAcentral
GGCCUCCUGGUGCUUACCACGGGUUGUGUUCUUAUACUGACUGUAUAGAAAGAGGAGAGCAAACCUAUCCCAUAUACACCUCAGCACAGUCCCUGUGCCUUGUCUGUAUUGUGAAUGGGGAGACGUGG